RNAcentral lists this ribosomal RNA (445 nucleotides) under uncultured bacterium. RNAcentral describes it as "bacterial SSU rRNA". It matches the Rfam family "Bacterial small subunit ribosomal RNA", at positions 354 to 796 of the family's 1533-position model. The record is from RNAcentral.
GUGAGGAAUAUUGGGCAAUGCCCGAAAGGGUGACCCAGCAACGCCGCGUGGAGGAUGAAUGCCGUAAGGUUGUAAACUCCUGUUAGAGGGGAAGAAAAAUCUCGAUCAAAUCGAGAACUGACUGUACCCUCAGAGAAAGCCCCGGCUAACUACGUGCCAGCAGCCGCGGUAAUACGUAGGGGGCAAGCGUUGUCCGGAUUUACUGGGUGUAAAGGGCGCGCAGGCGGGUUAGCAAGUCAGAGGUGAAAUCCUACAGCUUAACUGUAGAACUGCCUUUGAGACUGCUAAUCUUGAGUACGGAAGAGAGAGAUGGAAUUCCAGGUGUAGUGGUGAAAUACGUAGAUAUCUGGAAGAACACCAGUGGCGAAGGCGGUCUCUUGGUCCAUUACUGACGCUAAGGCGCGAAAGCGUGGGGAGCAAACAGGAUUAGAAACCCCAGUAGUCC